UAUACUCUUAGUUACCACCAGCGAAGAGAUUCCUACCUAUCCUGGCAGGCAAUUGUUCAGUUUUGCAAAGCUUCAAAUAACUUUACAGCUUGAAAUUCUGAGUUCCUUCUCUGCACCACAGGAGGAGAGGGAAAGGAUGGAGUCUAUGGUGGGUGACACAGUGCCUGCCCAUUAUGCACAGCUCUAAGCACAUCUUUAAAGAUGAGACC
Molecule: long non-coding RNA, 209 nt
Filed under: Coturnix japonica (Japanese quail)
Lineage: Eukaryota; Metazoa; Chordata; Aves; Galliformes; Phasianidae
Description: lncRNA (ENSCJPG00005008258.1)
Source: RNAcentral